Syntrophaceticus schinkii is the source of this 192-nucleotide regulatory RNA element. The record is from Rfam. NCBI's taxonomy places the organism in Bacteria, Bacillati, Bacillota, Clostridia, Thermoanaerobacterales, Thermoanaerobacterales Family III. Incertae Sedis.
AAAAUAUUAUAGAGAUUGGGCGCUGUCUCCCGUUAAUCUAAGCGGGAGACAUAGGGAAGUCCGGUGAAAAUCCGGCGUGGUCCCGCCACUGUGAUGGGGAUUUAUCUUACACGAUGCCACUGGGGAAAUCCGGGAAGGCGUAGGGUAAAAAUGAACCCAAGCCAGGAAACCUGCCCUGUUUCUAUGAACCAG